RNAcentral lists this ribosomal RNA (798 nucleotides) under Triticum aestivum (bread wheat). RNAcentral's name for it is "partial small subunit ribosomal RNA". The record is from RNAcentral. Lineage: Eukaryota; Viridiplantae; Streptophyta; Magnoliopsida; Poales; Poaceae.
AUGGCCCACGCUAAUGUUGCCCUCAACUUCAACGCGUUCCUAGAGAAAACCAAGCUGAAAGACGAUCGUAGCAACUAUACGGACUGGGUCCGUAACUUGAGGAUCAUCCUCAUAGCUGCCAAGAAAGCAUAUGUCCUUGAUGCACUGCUAUGUGAAGCACCUGUUUUCCCAGCAACUCAAGAUGUUAUGAACGCCUGGCAGUCGCGUAGUGAUGAUUACUCCCUGGUUCAGUGCGGCAUGCUUUAUAGCUUAGAAUCAGGGCUCCAAAAGCGUUUUGAGCAGCACGGAGCAUAUGAGAUGUUCCAAGAGCUGAAAAUGGUUUUCCAAGCUCAUGCCCGAUUCGAAAGAUAUGAAGUCUCCAACAAGUUCUACAUUUGUAAGAUGGAGGAGAAUAGUUCUGUCAACGAGCACAUACUCAAAAUGUCUGGGUUGCACAACCGCUUGUCUCAGCUGGGAGUUAAUCUCCCGGAUGACGCGGUCAUUGACAGAAUCCUUCAGUCGCUUCCACCUAGCUACAAGAGCUUUGUGAUGAAUUUCAAUAUGCAGGGGAUGGAGAAAACCAUUCCUGAGGUAUAUUCAAUGCUGAAAUCAACGGAGGUGGAGAUCAAAAAGGAACAUCAAGUGUUGAUGGUUAAUAAAACCACUAGUUUCAAGAAAGGCAAGGGUAAGAAGAACUUGAAGAAGGACGGCAAGGGAGUUGCCGCGCCCGGUAAGCCAGUUGCCGAGAAGAAGACAAAGCAUGGACCCAAACCUGAGACUGAGUGCUUUUAUUGCAAGGGAAACGGUCACUGGAAGCGG